Molecule: ribosomal RNA, 1443 nt
Filed under: uncultured organism
Description: SSU rRNA
Rfam family: Bacterial small subunit ribosomal RNA
Source: RNAcentral
GUUCAGGAUGAACGCUAGCUACAGGCUUAACACAUGCAAGUCGAGGGGCAUCAGGAAGAAAGCUUGCUUUCUUUGCUGGCGACCGGCGCACGGGUGAGUAACACGUAUCCAACCUGCCCUUUACUCGGGGAUAGCCUUUCGAAAGAAAGAUUAAUACCCGAUAGCAUAAUGAUUCCGCAUGGUUUCAUUAUUAAAGGAUUCCGGUAAAGGAUGGGGAUGCGUUCCAUUAGGUUGUUGGUGAGGUAACGGCCCACCAAGCCUUCGAUGGAUAGGGGUUCUGAGAGGAAGGUCCCCCACAUUGGAACUGAGACACGGUCCAAACUCCUACGGGAGGCAGCAGUGAGGAAUAUUGGUCAAUGGGCGCUAGCCUGAACCAGCCAAGUAGCGUGAAGGAUGAAGGCUCUAUGGGUCGUAAACUUCUUUUAUAUAAGAAUAAAGUGCAGUAUGUAUACUGUUUUGUAUGUAUUAUAUGAAUAAGGAUCGGCUAACUCCGUGCCAGCAGCCGCGGUAAUACGGAGGAUCCGAGCGUUAUCCGGAUUUAUUGGGUUUAAAGGGAGCGUAGGUGGACUGGUAAGUCAGUUGUGAAAGUUUGCGGCUCAACCGUAAAAUUGCAGUUGAUACUGUCAGUCUUGAGUACAGUAGAGGUGGGCGGAAUUCGUGGUGUAGCGGUGAAAUGCUUAGAUAUCACGAAGAACUCCGAUUGCGAAGGCAGCUCACUGGACUGCAACUGACACUGAUGCUCGAAAGUGUGGGUAUCAAACAGGAUUAGAUACCCUGGUAGUCCACACAGUAAACGAUGAAUACUCGCUGUUUGCGAUAUACAGUAAGCGGCCAAGCGAAAGCAUUAAGUAUUCCACCUGGGGAGUACGCCGGCAACGGUGAAACUCAAAGGAAUUGACGGGGGCCCGCACAAGCGGAGGAACAUGUGGUUUAAUUCGAUGAUACGCGAGGAACCUUACCCGGGCUUAAAUUGCAGUGGAAUGAUGUGGAAACAUGUCAGUGAGCAAUCACCGCUGUGAAGGUGCUGCAUGGUUGUCGUCAGCUCGUGCCGUGAGGUGUCGGCUUAAGUGCCAUAACGAGCGCAACCCUUAUCUUUAGUUACUAACAGGUUAUGCUGAGGACUCUAGAGAGACUGCCGUCGUAAGAUGUGAGGAAGGUGGGGAUGACGUCAAAUCAGCACGGCCCUUACGUCCGGGGCUACACACGUGUUACAAUGGGGGGUACAGAAGGCAGCUAGCGGGUGACCGUAUGCUAAUCCCAAAAUCCUCUCUCAGUUCGGAUCGAAGUCUGCAACCCGACUUCGUGAAGCUGGAUUCGCUAGUAAUCGCGCAUCAGCCACGGCGCGGUGAAUACGUUCCCGGGCCUUGUACACACCGCCCGUCAAGCCAUGGGAGCCGGGGGUACCUGAAGUACGUAACCGCAAGGAUCGUCCUAGGGUAAAAC